AUUCCAGCUCCAAUAGCGUAUAUUAAAGUUGUUGCGGUUAAAAAGCUCGUAGUUGGAUUUCUGCUGAGGACGACUGGUCCGCCCCCUGGGUGAGCAUCUGGUUCGGCCUGGGCAUCUUCUUGGGGAACGUAUCUGCACUUGAUUGUGUGGUGCGGUAUCCAGGACUUUUACUUUGAGGAAAUUAGAGUGUUUCAAGCAGGCCCGCGCCUUGAAUACAUUAGCAUGGAAUAAUAAGAUAGGACUAUGGUACUAUUUUGUUGGUUUGUGCACCAUGGUAAUGAUUAAUAGAGACAGUUGGGGGUAUUCGUAUUCCAUCGUCAGAGGUGAAAUUCUUGGAUUUAUGGAAGACGAACUUCUGCGAAAGCAUUUGCCAAGGAUGUUUUCAUCG
This 388-nucleotide ribosomal RNA is filed under the name Dinophyceae sp. Its description in RNAcentral is "partial small subunit ribosomal RNA". It matches the Rfam family "Eukaryotic small subunit ribosomal RNA", at positions 582 to 975 of the family's 1831-position model. Lineage: Eukaryota; Dinophyceae. The record is from RNAcentral.